RNAcentral lists this ribosomal RNA (402 nucleotides) under bacterium. RNAcentral's name for it is "partial 16S ribosomal RNA". It matches the Rfam family "Bacterial small subunit ribosomal RNA", at positions 355 to 776 of the family's 1533-position model. The record is from RNAcentral.
UGGGGAAUUUUGCACAAUGGGGGAAACCCUGAUGCAGCGACGCCGCGUGAUUUAGAAGGCCUUCGGGUUGUAAAAAUCUUUUCUAUGGGAAGAAAAUGACAGUACCAUAGGAAUAAGGACCGGCUAAUUACGUGCCAGCAGCCGCGGUAAUACGUAAGGUCCGAGCGUUGUCCGGAAUCAUUGGGCGUAAAGGGUACGUAGGCGGGUAAGCAAGUUAGAAGUGAAAUCCUAUAGCUCAACUAUAGUAAGCUUUUAAAACUGCUCAUCUUGAGGUAUGGAAGGGAAAGUGGAAUUCCUAGUGUAGCGGUGAAAUGCGCAGAUAUUAGGAGGAAUACCGGUGGCGAAGGCGACUUUCUGGCCAUAACCUGACGCUGAGGUACGAAAGCAUGGGUAGCAAACAGG